This 493-nucleotide ribosomal RNA is filed under the name uncultured bacterium. Its description in RNAcentral is "partial 16S ribosomal RNA". It matches the Rfam family "Bacterial small subunit ribosomal RNA", at positions 28 to 507 of the family's 1533-position model. The record is from RNAcentral.
GACGAACGCUGGCGGCGUGCUUAACACAUGCAAGUCGAACGGUGAAGGGACCGGUUUUUGCUGGUUCUGGAUGAGUGGCGAACGGGUGAGUAACACGUGAGUAACCUGCCCCCUUCUUCUGGAUAACCGCAUGAAAGGGUGGCUAAUACGGGAUAUUCUGCGCCUGCUGCAUGGUGGGUGUGGGAAAGAUAUUGUUUCGGUGUGGGAUGGGCUCGCGGCCUAUCAGCUUGUUGGUGGGGUGAUGGCCUACCAAGGCGGUGACGGGUAGCCGGCCUGAGAGGGUGGACGGUCACACUGGGACUGAGACACGGACACGACUCCUACGGGAGGCAGCAGUGGGGAAUAUUGCACAAUGGGCGCAAGCCUGAUGCAGCGACGCCGCGUGAGGGAUGGAGGCCUUCGGGUUGUAAACCUCUUUCGCCAGUGAAGCAGGCCUGUCCCUUUUGUGGGUGGGUUGACGGUAGCUGGAUAAGAAGCGCCGGCUAACUACGUG